CGACAAGUGUGGUCUGUUGAUUUCCGCUUCGGCGGAGGUAGGAAAGUCCGGACACCACAGAGCAGCAUAGCGGGUAACGCCCGCCAUCCGCCAAAAUCGGAUAGGACCAGUGCAACAGAAAGCAAGUACAGUUCGGCUGUAGUGAAAUCAGGUAAACUCUAUGCGGUGCAAUGCUAAGUAUAUCGGCAACUAAGGGCGGCUCGUCCAAUGUCGAGGGGUAAGCAGCUUAAGUUUUGUAGUAAUACAAAAUUCAGAUAAAUAACAGACAUCUCGUUGCUUGCAACGGGAAACAGAAUCCGGCUUAUAGCACUUGUCGUUUU
RNAcentral lists this RNase P RNA (320 nucleotides) under Cloacibacterium sp. RNAcentral's name for it is "RNase P RNA component class A". It matches the Rfam family "Bacterial RNase P class A". Rfam says of the family: Ribonuclease P (RNase P) is a ubiquitous endoribonuclease, found in archaea, bacteria and eukarya as well as chloroplasts and mitochondria. Its best characterised activity is the generation of mature 5'-ends of tRNAs by cleaving the 5'-leader elements of precursor-tRNAs. Lineage: Bacteria; Pseudomonadati; Bacteroidota; Flavobacteriia; Flavobacteriales; Weeksellaceae. The record is from RNAcentral.